Molecule: long non-coding RNA, 184 nt
Organism: Syngnathus acus (greater pipefish)
Lineage: Eukaryota; Metazoa; Chordata; Actinopteri; Syngnathiformes; Syngnathidae
Exons: 3
Source: RefSeq, a predicted model, not a curated record
GCCUGAUUAAACUUACCCUAUAAGAGAAUUUUCGGCCACAAACUGAGCACGAAAAAGGUUUCUCGCCAGUGUGGAUUUUUGUAUGCGUUUUCAAAUAUCCCUUCUGAGAGAAUUUUUGCCCACAAACUGAGCAUGAAAAGGGUUUCUCACCAGUGUGAAUUUUUGUAUGCGUUUUCAAAGAUCC